GCUUUCCCAACCCGUACCCUUUGCUCUCCACUUUAUAAGGAAGAAAUUUGGUGUGGGGGAGAGGCAGACACCCAGGAUAAUUGAAUCUGGCCAGCCAGGGUCACUCUCUGGUGCUGUGUGAGGUCUUGGGACUAAAGCCUAACUCCAACAGCCCUCAGGGGUACCGAGUAUCAACUGCUGUUUGGGAGAAUUUUGGUGCGUGGCACGAGGAAGGCUCAAGGUGACAGAGGGCAUCUGGCUGGGGCAACUCUCUAGGGUUGCCAGCAGACUUUGGCCUGAAACCUGACUCCGACAGCCCCCGGGGCACAGAUAUCAAGGACAUGCUAAACUUCCACUAUGCUUGGACAGCAAAGGGCUUUACAGCAAGCCCUCUGAGGGCAUGAAAAGAGACCUACUUCUUCCCUUACCAACCUUCCCUCCCACACUCAGCCGACUUCACACAUCCAGGAAGAGACCUGGGCUGGUUUGUGAAGUUUACAUUUGUCGGGGGUCUUUUAUUAGCACAGUUAUUUGAAACUUGGUGUACUGACAGGAAGUAGUCUAAAAC
This 547-nucleotide long non-coding RNA is filed under the name Marmota monax (woodchuck). Lineage: Eukaryota; Metazoa; Chordata; Mammalia; Rodentia; Sciuridae. The record is from RNAcentral.